Gossypium raimondii (Peruvian cotton) is the source of this 1482-nucleotide long non-coding RNA. RefSeq lists it as uncharacterized. NCBI's taxonomy places the organism in Eukaryota, Viridiplantae, Streptophyta, Magnoliopsida, Malvales, Malvaceae. The transcript has 4 exons. The record is from RefSeq and is a predicted model, not a curated record.
UCUAUAUGGCAGCACCAGUAUGCUUAUACAGGUCUUUAGAAAAUUUAUUUUUAACGGUUGGAGGAGAGGUGUUAGGCAGCACUAGAGGGCUGGAGGAGGGUUGUCGAGCGGCACCGACUAGAUGGAGGCAACCUGUCAAGCGACACCUACGGUGAACAUGACCUAAUAGUCAUGGGGUUCUAUUUUUUCUGACAGCUUGAACCCUUGCUUUCACAAAAAAAAAAAAAGUAGCAUUUCAGGGAGAAAGAAGAGAGAAGAGAAGAGGGUGGAGCUAUAACAAAAAAAAGAAAGUAACAAUUUAGGAAGAAGAGAAUAGAAAAUGGUUUUAGGGUUUUGAAAGGAAAAAGAUGACGUGGGGUUGUUUUGAAAGGUAAUUUUUUAAUUAUUAUUUAUUUGUUUAGGGUUUUGAUUUACUUAUUCUUUGUUUGAUUUUGUGGUUUUGGGAGGAGAGGAUGCAUCAACAAAUUUGUUUAAAGGGUGAGUACCGCGUAUUUAGGGCUCAUGUCAACGGUCUGCGCUAUCGGCUGGAUGAACGUAUUAUGCCAUACUUGGAGGCAUACGGAUUCGGAUCAGUGACAUUUUUCUGCUUUGGUUGAGCGGUAGUGUCUGGAGAUCCACAUAUUUCAUUUGCCGUAUGGGGAGUGCACCAUCACUCUAAAAGAUGUUGCACUACAACUCGGGUUCCCAAUCGAUGGUAGUUGGUUCAUUUGGUUGAUCCGGUGACGCUUUGCUAUCAUUUACGAGGACACUCACCUAGUGAUGUUGGAGAUAAAUUUACGAGUUUGAAAUUUUCAUGGUUAAAGGUAGAUUUCGAAACUUUACCGAGUAGUGCCACUGAGCGGGAGAUGAUGUGUACUGCUCAAGCAUAUAUCAUGCAUCUGAUAGAAGGUGUACUCAUGCUAGAUGCAAAUAACAAUAAAGUCCACUUGAUAUACUUGCCCCGGUUAUUUGAUUUGACGCUCACUUGUUCGUAUAGUUGGGGCUCAACAGUACUAGCAACGUUGUAUCGUGAGGUUUUUCGGGCGACAAAGCACGCAACACAAGGCAUUUUUGUUGCAGUUUGGGUGUUGUAUAAGAUGCCAUUUUUGUCAUCGGUUAGUCACCGAACACAUGUCUUCCCACUUGUAAAUAGCUGGUAGAUUUGUCUAGGUAUCGGGAGGUCCUAUGCGCUUGUGAUUUAUCGACAGAUGAUUGAGACACACGCCGGAGAGGGGUAGAGUGAUACAACAGAGAUCGAGUUCUAUAACAGUUCGGGUGCAAACAAGAUGUUUCAGAUAUUCCAGAAUUUUGACAAUGUCAACGGAAUUAACAAAAAGGAAAAAGAAUCAAAGAAUUGGGUAUUAGAGCAUCAACAAUAUAUUGCAUUGUGGAACCCCCAGAUGGAGCGGAUACCUCAAAUGGUUUUGAUUUUGAUUUGUGGCCCUAGGUCGAGUGUCAAAAGAUUAAUUAAAGAUUAAAGACUACAUAAUUAAAAAUACUACU